Molecule: ribosomal RNA, 253 nt
Filed under: uncultured bacterium
Lineage: Bacteria
Description: partial 16S ribosomal RNA
Rfam family: Bacterial small subunit ribosomal RNA
Source: RNAcentral
UACGAGAGGCCCAAACGUUAUUCGGAAUCACUGGGCUUACAGAGUUCGUAGGCGGUCUGGAAAGUUGGGUGUGAAAUCCCUCGGCUCAACCGAGGAACUGCGCUCAAAACUACCCGACUCGAGGGAGAUAGAGGAAAGCGGAACUGAUGGUGGAGCGGUGAAAUGCGUUGAUAUCAUCAGGAACACCGGUGGCGAAGGCGGCUUUCUGGGUCUUACCUGACGCUGAGGAACGAAAGCUAGGGGAGCGAACGGG